RNAcentral lists this unclassified non-coding RNA (487 nucleotides) under Bombus terrestris (buff-tailed bumblebee). Its description in RNAcentral is "misc RNA ENSBTSG00005022586.1". Lineage: Eukaryota; Metazoa; Arthropoda; Insecta; Hymenoptera; Apidae. The record is from RNAcentral.
CUUAUAUGUCCUAAGAAAAUCUUAUUGGCCUAUCCACGGCUGUAGUCAAGUUUGGAGCACAGUGAGAAAGUGCGUCCGUUGCUGCCGAGCUAAUCCACCUCCAGUGGAAUACGCAAUAGGCGACCUCCCAGCCGCACGGAUAACAGAAUCUCGGCCGUUUACCAACGUCGGAAUCGAUUAUUGCGGACCAUUCUACAUCAAGGAGCGGAAGGAUCGCAAUCUGUAAAUCUUUAUAUGUUUGCAGUUAAAGCAGUUCACAUCGAGCUGGUCAGCGACCUCACAGGCGAGGCGAGGAACAGCGAAUUACGAGAGCGAAACUUCCUAUGGUCCGACGAUCAUAAGUUUUACAGAUUGUAAGUGAAUCGUGGCACCGAUGUGGUGGUGCUUUUAACGGGAUAUUUUGUAGCUUUUGAUCACCGAUGCUGCACUGCCACGUGCAUCUACUUUUUCCUCUAUGUCUCCCUAUAAGAUCGUGUUAUAUUUCAAA